UACGGAGGAGGCAAGCGUUAUCCGGAAUUAUUGGGCGUAAAGCGUCCGUAGGUGGUUGGCCAAGUCUGCUGUCAAAGGGUGGGACUUAACCUCAUAAAGGCAGUGGAAACUGGCGAGCUAGAGUGCGGUAGGGGUAGGGGGAGUUCCCAGUGUAGCGGUGGAAUGCGUAGAGAUUGGGAAGAACAUCGGUGGCGAAAGCGACCUGCUGGGCCUGCACUGACACUGAGGGACGAAAGCUAGGGGAGCGAAAGGG
This 253-nucleotide ribosomal RNA is filed under the name uncultured bacterium. RNAcentral describes it as "partial 16S ribosomal RNA". It matches the Rfam family "Bacterial small subunit ribosomal RNA", at positions 524 to 776 of the family's 1533-position model. The record is from RNAcentral.